Papaver somniferum (opium poppy) is the source of this 164-nucleotide long non-coding RNA. RefSeq lists it as uncharacterized. The transcript has 3 exons. Lineage: Eukaryota; Viridiplantae; Streptophyta; Magnoliopsida; Ranunculales; Papaveraceae. The record is from RefSeq and is a predicted model, not a curated record.
CAGGAUCGUGCUACCAACCUGGGUUUUCAUGCCAAGACCCUUGGAGAUCUAGUGAUGUUUUUUCAAAGUACAUGUAGUACGUUGCCUCCUUCUCAGGAUGAGCUUCUGUUGAGAUAUGAAUAUCAAGUAGAUAACUCCUUGUUGGGUGAAGAGACUUUCGCCUA